GAUGAACGCUGGCGGCGUGCUUAACACAUGCAAGUCGAACGGAAAGGCCCAAGCUUGCUUGGGUACUCGAGUGGCGAACGGGUGAGUAACACGUGGGUGAUCUGCCCUGCACUUCGGGAUAAGCCUGGGAAACUGGGGCUAAUACCGGAUAGGACGUUGGUUUGGAUGCCAUUGUGGAAAGUUUUUUCGGUGUGGGAUGAGCUCGCGGCCGAUCAGCUUGUUGGUGGGGUAUUGGCCUACCAAGGCGUCGACGGGUAGCCGGCCUGAGAGGGUGUACGGCCACAUUGGGAGUGUGAGACAGGCCAGAGUCCUACGGGGGGCGGCAGUGGGGAAUAUUGCACAAUGGGCGCAAGCGUGAUGCAGCGACGCCGCGUGGGGGAUGACGGCCUUCGGGUUGUAAACUCCUUUCGCUAGGGACGAAGCGUUUUUGUGACGGUACCUGGAGAAGAAGCACCGGCUAACUACGUG
RNAcentral lists this ribosomal RNA (468 nucleotides) under uncultured bacterium. RNAcentral describes it as "partial 16S ribosomal RNA". It matches the Rfam family "Bacterial small subunit ribosomal RNA", at positions 28 to 507 of the family's 1533-position model. The record is from RNAcentral.